CCUUCCCUUCCUCCCUCCUCAGGUUAGCCCCUCCCUCCUCCAGAAACCAUAGUUGGCCCUGCCCGAGGAACCCGAGAGGUAGGAGCGAAGCUUCCCGAGCCCUCGGCCAGCCGAGGGCCGUUUGCCCUGGGCCACAGGUGCCCUGGCAACGGCCGCCGCUACCACGGGGCGGGGCUGUGACGUCAGAGGAUGGCUCGCGGACUUGGAAGGGGUUGGGGAGGAGUGAGGCACGAGCAAAGGCUUCUUGGUUGACGUUAGUUCUUUUUUGAUUGAUCUUCAAUUAAAUCCUUCCACGUCUUUGCAACCUUUCUUGACGCCUCUGGCAUAGAGUAACAGAUUAACAAGAAGCAAAAAUCCCAUCUGUGCCAUUUAAUUGCCAUGAGACCAUGUUCUUUUCCCCUGUGCAGGGCCUCAGUUUCCUAACCUGCAUUGUAGGGGAGAGUUAGACUAGAAAGACCAUUCCAACUCAAAAUUCCAUUAGCCAACUGUUUGCCAUCCAUCCACACAUAUCGUCAGCCCAUGAAGGGGGAGAACCGGGCCAGUGGUAACCAUCCCCCCCAAAUUACCAGCUCAUUUUCAUUAUGUUGCCACACAAAGCCUGUUUCACUUUUGUCUUUCUAUUUCCUGGGCCCAGCAUAAGGACUGGCAUUUUAAGGACUCUCCAUGUCUUCAGCUCUCAUUAUCACUACCAUGCCAACAGGAUCCUGGGAGUCCAGGUUCAAAGAACCCAGAAAAGGAGGAAGCAUCAGUAA
Molecule: long non-coding RNA, 752 nt
Filed under: Monodelphis domestica (gray short-tailed opossum)
Lineage: Eukaryota; Metazoa; Chordata; Mammalia; Didelphimorphia; Didelphidae
Description: lncRNA (ENSMODG00000039756.1)
Source: RNAcentral